Candidatus Accumulibacter phosphatis is the source of this 175-nucleotide non-coding RNA. Lineage: Bacteria; Pseudomonadati; Pseudomonadota; Betaproteobacteria. The record is from Rfam.
GUCGCCGCGAGGCGGGGUCUGAAGGAAGCCCAAUCCAAAGCUGCGGGGCGAUGAACAAAAACCGGAUAUCAGGCGUGAUGUACUCGGGACGAGCGGGCACGUGACGGCGAAGUCCUCCAUCUGCGCUUGGAGUGCAUUUUGUAGAUCCGGCGUCUAUGCAGCGAAGGCAACGAGU